AACGAACGCUGGCGGCAUGCCUAACACAUGCAAGUCGAACGAGAGCUCCGGGUGUAGUGGCGCACGCGGGCGUAGCGCGGCGGAACCUGCCCUUAGGUUUGGAAUAAUUCUCCGUAGGGGGUGAUAAUACCGGGUAAUGUCUUCGAACCAAAGAUUGGUCGCGUUUGGUGGGGCGGGAGUUGGAUUGGCCGGUUGCUAGGGUAAGAGCCUACCAAGGCGUGGUUCCAUAGCUGGUCAGUGAGGAUGAUCACCCACACUGGGACUGAGACACGGCCCAGAAUCCUACGCGAGGCAGCAGAGGGGGAUCCUGGACAAUGGGCGAAAGCCAGAACCAGCUAUGCUUGGUGAGUGAUUAAGGCCUGAGAGAUGUAAAGCUCUUUUACCCGGGAUGGUAAUGACGGUACCGAAAGAAUAAGCACCGGCUAACUUCGUG
Molecule: ribosomal RNA, 433 nt
Filed under: uncultured bacterium
Lineage: Bacteria
Description: partial 16S ribosomal RNA
Rfam family: Bacterial small subunit ribosomal RNA
Source: RNAcentral